UAACACAAGACUUGUAAGGAGGGUCUCUUUUCAAGAAGGCAGCUGUUUUUCCUCAUUCUUUCAAUUAAUUAGGAUGUGAGCUUCCACUACAAAAAAACAACAGAAGUUACAUUGGGUUCCAGGUUGAGGAGUCAUCUGAAUUAGAGGUCUACAGGGAAAAUAAAUGAUGCUUAUAUCCUGUUUAAGAGUGAGGAUUUACGUGCUGCAACCUCGUUGGAUGUUGAAGCAGUUUAUUACACUCAAAGAAUGUGUUGUUUACCAGUUUAUCCACAUUCACAGAUGUGGUUGUGGCACUGGCUUGGGCACCUUUCAUCCUUGGAGCUGCACUCUCAGGACCACCGGAUGAGCUGUGGCCAAUGCAGUGCUGCAAAACCCCUUCCUUCAAGCUUUCUGUCCCAGGCCGGAGGACGAGCCAAAAGCAGCAUCUGAAUUCCUGCCCUGCACCUCUCCUGCCACGUAACAAAUGGUUGUGACAGGGCAGAGUGGAGAUCUCUGCCCUCCAGGCCAAGCCAGGGCUCCUCGGGACGUGACAGCUUUGAUUUGUGUCUGUGCAGGACCCACCGGAGACAAAAGACAGCGUCAAGAGUAAUUGAAUGGACGUGGCAGGCAGACCCAGCAGUGCUCUUAUCAGCUGGGGGAGGCAGAGCAGAUCCGAGGAGCAGAACAGGCCAGGUACCAGGAACCAGAUCUUAGGGUUGCAUUCCUCACAUAAGUGGAAUUUCCCGCGGUCCCCGUUAAGUUCUCUUUUGUAAAUUGAAAAAUCUAAAAUCUGGAAAGAAAAAAAAAAAAAGAGCCUUACUGAAAAAAAAGUAAUUAAUUUCCUGUGCUGUCUUAAUCUAUAAAGUAAUAUAAUAAAAAGAAACCCUCAUCCCAAGCUAGAGGGAGUGUAUUGUUUAAACCUCAAGAGAGGCAAAGUUUAAUUUAAUUUCACAGGUAGCUAUUUUGCAAAGCCUCUAAGGGAGGAAACUCUUCCAAUGCCACCGCUCCAAGAAUUUGGCACAAUAUAAUUUAUAUUGCCAUUGUAGUGAGAGGCUUCGUUGUGUUGUGCACGUGUGGGCACCCCCACGUACCCACAGAAAAACCCUUCUGUGAACUUCUAAUGUAAUGAUGCAAAGGCAACAGGCAAAGUGGAGAAGAAGAGAGGUAGAGGUGGCCAAAGCCUCAGUGAAGGUCUGUGAUGAGCCAAGAGCAGGAUUCCUGGU
This is a non-coding RNA of Anas platyrhynchos (mallard), 1202 nucleotides long. NCBI's taxonomy places the organism in Eukaryota, Metazoa, Chordata, Aves, Anseriformes, Anatidae. The record is from RefSeq and is a predicted model, not a curated record.